Molecule: ribosomal RNA, 365 nt
Filed under: uncultured bacterium
Lineage: Bacteria
Description: partial 16S ribosomal RNA
Rfam family: Bacterial small subunit ribosomal RNA
Source: RNAcentral
CCUACGGGAGGCAGCAGUGAGGAAUAGUGGUCAAUGGACGAGAGUCUGAACCAGCCAAGUAGCGUGAAGGAUGACUGCCCUAUGGGUUGUAAACUUCAUGUAUAGGGGAAUAAAAUGUGCCACGUGGGGGAUUUUGUAUGUACCAUAUGAAUAAGGAUCGGCUAACGCCGGGCCAGCAGCCGCGGUAAUACGGAGGAUCCGAUCGUUAUCCGGAUUUAUUGGGUUUAAAGGGAGCGUAGGUGGCUUGUUAAGUCAGUUUUGCAAGUUUGCGGCUCAACCGUAAAAUUGCAGUUGAAACUGGCAGUCUUGAGUACAGUAGCGGUGGGCGCACUUCGUGGUGUAGCGGUUACAUGCUUCGAUAUCAC